This is a long non-coding RNA of Sinocyclocheilus rhinocerous, 625 nucleotides long. RefSeq lists it as uncharacterized. The transcript is spliced from 5 exons. The record is from RefSeq and is a predicted model, not a curated record. NCBI's taxonomy places the organism in Eukaryota, Metazoa, Chordata, Actinopteri, Cypriniformes, Cyprinidae.
UAUUAUUUUGGCUUUGCUUCCUCCUUAAGCAUUUGUGUUUCCAUUACUAUUCCUUUCUUUUAAUAAAUCCAAUUUCAGUUUACCUUGGGUGAAAGUGUGUUCCUAGUGCUGGGACUAGAGAUGAUAAAAGUUUCGGGAUGUGUCUGUGCUCUCGCUCCACCUUUGUGACGUCUGUCCUGUUCACGCAUGUCAACGCGAGAUCUAAUGCAGAAAAUGAUGAGAUGUCUCAGAAUCACAAAACAAUCAACAAGUGCAUAGAUUUUUUUGCAUUUAAGCGACAUCAGCAUUGCGGAAGUGGAGACUUCCACGUGCUUCAAGGACAGAGAGAUCAGCGAUCAAUCAGACCGGAACGGGAACCAAAUGUCUCAAGCGCUCAAAGAACAACAACUAAUCAGCAGCACUGCUGAAGUGAAGCCUGCCACGUGUUUGGAGGAGAGAAGGAACACCUCUAAUCGCACAUGGACUAGAAAUAAGCUAAAUCUGUACUUCAAUCGGAAGAGCAUCAUGAAGAAGAGACAUCUAAAUGGCCCUCCUGACAUAUUUCAUCUACACCCAAAAAUGCAGUUUAGUCAGUUUAGAGUGCAUACUUCUUGGGAAAAGUAUGCUGUAAGAGAAAUAAAAAAAU